UACCAGGUAAUCUCGGAUCGUGCUCUUUUGUACACACACUCACCUCUGUAUAGCUACAGAGAUAGAUUAUUUACAGACGUGUACAGAAGCUAGAUAUCCAGCAGAAACCACAGGGGAGAAUUGAGGCUCCUUGGGAUGGAGUUAAGACUGAGAACCAUUAAGGUACUACAAUAUAGAACACUCUACUACAGAUCAAGGCCUCAUCUGAUUCUGGCACAUCAGACGCGUAAUACUUGAUUGCAUGUAUCAAUGUCCAUAAUGUUGCUUUACAAAUUUCCUUGUAUGGUCUAAGAUUUCUAUGCCCAUGAUGCACAGUUGUUCUUAGAGAAUAGGCUUUGAUUUUGGAUGGUAGAGAAGAGCAUUUUUUUGAGUCAAAUCCAUCCUAUUACGACUGAGUGCCUCUACCUUCUCUCAAUGGGUAACUGCUGGAUAAAAACAAAAAGGGGUGAUGCACUUCUGCGUCCUUUGUUUUUUUUCACUGUCUAUAUUGAAAGCUCUAGCAAUGUCUAGUUUGUGCCAGAACUUCUCCUUCAGCUAAAUUUGGCUUACUUUACAGAGAGUUUACAGUACUUGAAUUAAUUACUGCAUA
Long non-coding RNA from Chelonia mydas (Green sea turtle), 589 nucleotides. RefSeq lists it as uncharacterized. The transcript is spliced from 3 exons. The record is from RefSeq and is a predicted model, not a curated record. Lineage: Eukaryota; Metazoa; Chordata; Testudines; Cheloniidae.